GCGGUGACGGGGGAGUACCACGUGGGUAACCUGCGUGUGGACUGGGAUAACUCCGGGAAACCGGAGCUAAUACCGGAUAGUUCCUUGAACCGCAUGGUUCAGGAUGAACGACGGUUUCGGCUGUCACUUACAGAUGGACCCGCGGCGCAUUAGCUAGUUGGUGGGGUAAUGGCUCACCAAGGCGACGAUGCGUAGCCGACCUGAGAGGGUGAUCGGCCACACUGGGACUGAGACACGGCCCAGACUCCUACGGGAGGCAGCAGUAGGGAAUCUUCCGCAAUGGACGAAAGUCUGACGGAGCAACGCCGCGUGAGUGAUGAAGGUUUUCGGAUCGUAAAGCUCUGUUGUUAGGGAAAAACAAGUGCUAGAGUAACUGCUCGCACCUUGACGGUACCUAACCACAAAGCCACGGCUAACUACAUGCCAUCAGCCGCGGUAAUACUUAUGUGGCAAGCGUUGUCCGGAAUUAUUGGGCGUAAAGGGCUCGCAGGCGGUUUCUUAAUUCUGAUGUGAAAGCCCCCGGCUCAACCGUCCAGGGUCAUUGUAAACUGGGAAACUUGAGUGCCAAUGAGGAGAGUGGAAUUCCACGUGUAUCGCUGAAAUGCGUAGAGAUGUGGAGGAACACCAGUGGCGAACGCGACUCUCUGCUCUGUUACUGAUCCUGAGGAGCGAAUACGUGCCAAGCGAACAGGAUUACAUAUGCUGUUAGUCCACGCCUCAAACCAUG
This 727-nucleotide ribosomal RNA is filed under the name uncultured Bacillus sp. Its description in RNAcentral is "bacterial SSU rRNA". It matches the Rfam family "Bacterial small subunit ribosomal RNA", at positions 95 to 811 of the family's 1533-position model. Lineage: Bacteria; Bacillati; Bacillota; Bacilli; Caryophanales; Bacillaceae. The record is from RNAcentral.